CGGCAAUGGAGGAAACUCUGACCGAGCAACGCCGCGUGAACGAUGAAGUAUUUCGGUACGUAAAGUUCUUUUAUUAGGGAAGAAUAAAUGAUGGAAAAAUCAUUCUGACGGUACCUAAUGAAUAAGCCCCGGCUAACUAUGUGCCAGCAGCCGCGGUAAUACAUAGGGGGCAAGCGUUAUCCGGAAUUAUUGGGCGUAAAGGGUGCGUAGGCGGUUAAAUAAGUUUAUGGUCUAAGUGCAAUGCUCAACAUUGUGAUGCUAUAAAAACUGUUUAGCUAGAGUAAGAUAGAGGCAAGUGGAAUUCCAUGUGUAGUGGUAAAAUGCGUAAAUAUAUGGAGGAACACCAGUAGCGAAGGCGGCUUGCUGGGUCUUUACUGACGCUGAGGCACGAAAGCGUGGGGAGCAAACAGGAUUAGAUACCCUGGUAGUCCACGCCGUAAACGAUGAGUACUAAACGUUGGGUAAAACCAGUGUUGAAGUUAACACAUUAAGUACUCCGCCUGAGUAGUACGUACGCAAGUAUGAAACUUAAAGGAAUUGACGGGACUCCGCACAAGCGGUGGAUCAUGUUGUUUAAUUCGAAGGUACCCGAAAAACCUCACCAGGUCUUGACAUGCUUCUGCAAAGCUGUAGAAACACAGUGGAGGUUAUCAGUUGCACAGGUGGUGCAUGGUUGUCGUCAGCUCGUGUCGUGAGAUGUUGGGUUAAGUCCCACAACGAGCGCAACCCUUAUUGUUAGUUACCAGCACGUAAUGGUGGGGACUUUAGCAAGACUGCCAGUGAUAAAUUGGAGGAAGGUGGGGACGACGUCAAAUCAUCAUGCCCCUUAUGACCUGGGCUACAAACGUGAUACAAUGGCUGUUACAAAGAGUAGCUGAA
This 879-nucleotide ribosomal RNA is filed under the name Chinese Huanglongbing disease-associated phytoplasma. RNAcentral's name for it is "bacterial SSU rRNA". It matches the Rfam family "Bacterial small subunit ribosomal RNA", at positions 366 to 1254 of the family's 1533-position model. Lineage: Bacteria; Bacillati; Mycoplasmatota; Mollicutes; Acholeplasmatales; Acholeplasmataceae. The record is from RNAcentral.